ACGUUUCAGUGCAGUUAUAAAGUGCAUCUGUUGCGAAAUACCACGUCACUAGGCCAAUAUAAACAAUCGCUUUCGCCUGCCUUGACAUACAUACUUGUGCGGUUUUCAAGUUCACUUCCUCGGUAGUUUUCUCCAAAUUUUCACGAGACAUCAUGGGUCUACAGUCCACCACUAGAGUUAUCCGAGGCGGUCGUGCCGUGGAGACAGUUUACUGGCAUUACAUGAAGGACAAAACUGGCCUACAGAGGAUCUUCAAACACCGCAGCACGUUCGUGUAUCCUAAGAGAAUGGUGCCUAAAAUGCCCAAUGUCGCCGACCAGGCCUUCAGUAAAAUUAAAUGAACGGUCCGGUUACCAAUGCUGGCUGGCUUCUUCCUCCGGAUUUAAUGAGACUGGUGUAUUCGUAACCUGUAUGUGUCCUUUUAACCUAAUGUAAUAUAAUAUUUAUUUAUUUUAUUUGUAACUAAUUUGUUUUUGAUAUUUGUUUUCUUUGUUAAUAUAGUUUUAAUAACUCA
Macrosteles quadrilineatus (aster leafhopper) is the source of this 514-nucleotide long non-coding RNA. RefSeq lists it as uncharacterized. The transcript is spliced from 3 exons. The record is from RefSeq and is a predicted model, not a curated record. NCBI's taxonomy places the organism in Eukaryota, Metazoa, Arthropoda, Insecta, Hemiptera, Cicadellidae.